This is a long non-coding RNA of Oncorhynchus tshawytscha (Chinook salmon), 687 nucleotides long. The record is from Ensembl. Lineage: Eukaryota; Metazoa; Chordata; Actinopteri; Salmoniformes; Salmonidae.
AUUUUAUUGCAUUUGUUUAUUGAUGUUUGUUGAUGUUUUUUAUUCUUGGCAGUGGGUGUAGGCCAAGGCCGGACUGUCUCCUGAACUCACCGUUUAACAGAUCCGGAGAUUGGAGGGAUGAGAGAGUGGGCAGAAACGGUUAAGGUAGGAGAGGUUGGGGCAGAGCUGGUUAAGGUAGGAGAGGUUGGGGCAGAGCUGGUUAAGGUAGGAGAGGUUGAGGCAGGAAUUUUUAAGGUAGGGGAGGUUGGGGCAGGGCUGGUUAAGGUAGGAGAGGUUGGGGCAGGGCUGGUUAAGGUAGGAGAGGUUGGGGCAGGGCUGGUUAAGGUAGGAGAGGUUGGGGCAGGGCUGGUUAAGGUAGGAGAGGUUGGGGCAGGGCUGGUUAAGGUAGGAGAGGUUGGGGCAGAGCUGGUUAAGGUAGGAGAGGUUGGGGCAGGGCUGGUUUGUGAUGGCUGGGUGGAAUGGGUUGUGAUUACCGGUAAUGGGAAUGGGGAAAAUAAGAAAUCAAAGUGUGGUGCAGUAGGUGAUAUUAAUGUGAAGGGACUGGACAUGGAGGCUGAUGGUGUUCCCAGAGGAAGGGUGGCUGAGGCACAAAUCCUGUAUGUCCAGGAUUUGUUGGAGCAGAUUGACUUGGGAGCCCUGUGGUGUCCAGCCAGAUGUGAUGGGUUGGGGUGUAGAGCCAGAGUGGAU